Molecule: ribosomal RNA, 1475 nt
Filed under: Klebsiella pneumoniae
Lineage: Bacteria; Pseudomonadati; Pseudomonadota; Gammaproteobacteria; Enterobacterales; Enterobacteriaceae
Description: bacterial SSU rRNA
Rfam family: Bacterial small subunit ribosomal RNA
Source: RNAcentral
CUGCUCAGAUUGAACGCUGGCGGCAGGCCUAACACAUGCAAGUCGAGCGGUAGCACAGAGAGCUUGCUCUCGGGUGACGAGCGGCGGACGGGUGAGUAAUGUCUGGGAAACUGCCUGAUGGAGGGGGAUAACUACUGGAAACGGUAGCUAAUACCGCAUAAUGUCGCAAGACCAAAGUGGGGGACCUUCGGGCCUCAUGCCAUCAGAUGUGCCCAGAUGGGAUUAGCUAGUAGGUGGGGUAACGGCUCACCUAGGCGACGAUCCCUAGCUGGUCUGAGAGGAUGACCAGCCACACUGGAACUGAGACACGGUCCAGACUCCUACGGGAGGCAGCAGUGGGGAAUAUUGCACAAUGGGCGCAAGCCUGAUGCAGCCAUGCCGCGUGUGUGAAGAAGGCCUUCGGGUUGUAAAGCACUUUCAGCGGGGAGGAAGGCGGUGAGGUUAAUAACCUCAUCGAUUGACGUUACCCGCAGAAGAAGCACCGGCUAACUCCGUGCCAGCAGCCGCGGUAAUACGGAGGGUGCAAGCGUUAAUCGGAAUUACUGGGCGUAAAGCGCACGCAGGCGGUCUGUCAAGUCGGAUGUGAAAUCCCCGGGCUCAACCUGGGAACUGCAUUCGAAACUGGCAGGCUAGAGUCUUGUAGAGGGGGGUAGAAUUCCAGGUGUAGCGGUGAAAUGCGUAGAGAUCUGGAGGAAUACCGGUGGCGAAGGCGGCCCCCUGGACAAAGACUGACGCUCAGGUGCGAAAGCGUGGGGAGCAAACAGGAUUAGAUACCCUGGUAGUCCACGCCGUAAACGAUGUCGAUUUGGAGGUUGUGCCCUUGAGGCGUGGCUUCCGGAGCUAACGCGUUAAAUCGACCGCCUGGGGAGUACGGCCGCAAGGUUAAAACUCAAAUGAAUUGACGGGGGCCCGCACAAGCGGUGGAGCAUGUGGUUUAAUUCGAUGCAACGCGAAGAACCUUACCUGGUCUUGACAUCCACAGAACUUUCCAGAGAUGGAUUGGUGCCUUCGGGAACUGUGAGACAGGUGCUGCAUGGCUGUCGUCAGCUCGUGUUGUGAAAUGUUGGGUUAAGUCCCGCAACGAGCGCAACCCUUAUCCUUUGUUGCCAGCGGUUAGGCCGGGAACUCAAAGGAGACUGCCAGUGAUAAACUGGAGGAAGGUGGGGAUGACGUCAAGUCAUCAUGGCCCUUACGACCAGGGCUACACACGUGCUACAAUGGCAUAUACAAAGAGAAGCGACCUCGCGAGAGCAAGCGGACCUCAUAAAGUAUGUCGUAGUCCGGAUUGGAGUCUGCAACUCGACUCCAUGAAGUCGGAAUCGCUAGUAAUCGUAGAUCAGAAUGCUACGGUGAAUACGUUCCCGGGCCUUGUACACACCGCCCGUCACACCAUGGGAGUGGGUUGCAAAAGAAGUAGGUAGCUUAACCUUCGGGAGGGCGCUUACCACUUUGUGAUUCAUGACUGGGGUGAAGUC